GACGGAGGGUGCAAGCGUUGUUCGGAAUCAUUGGGCGUAAAGAGAGCGUAGGCGGCUUGGUAAGUCGGGUGUGAAAGCCCGGGGCUCAACCCCGGAAAUGCGCCCGAUACUGCUGAGCUUGAAUACGGGAGAGGGUUGCGGAAUUGUCGGUGUAGAGGUGAAAUUCGUAGAUAUCGGCAAGAACAUCAGUGGCGAAGGCGGCAACCUGGACCGAUAUUGACGCUGAGGCUCGAAAGCGUGGGGAGCAAACAGG
Molecule: ribosomal RNA, 253 nt
Filed under: uncultured bacterium
Lineage: Bacteria
Description: partial 16S ribosomal RNA
Rfam family: Bacterial small subunit ribosomal RNA
Source: RNAcentral